UAUUGGACAAUGGGCGAAAGCCUGAUCCAGCCAUGCCGCGUGUGUGAAGAAGGUCUUCGGAUUGUAAAGCACUUUAAGUUGGGAGGAAGGGCAUUAACCUAAUACGUUAGUGUUUUGACGUUACCGACAGAAUAAGCACCGGCUAACUCUGUGCCAGCAGCCGCGGUAAUACAGAGGGUGCAAGCGUUAAUCGGAAUUACUGGGCGUAAAGCGCGCGUAGGUGGUUUGUUAAGUUGGAUGUGAAAUCCCCGGGCUCAACCUGGGAACUGCAUUCAAAACUGACUGACUAGAGUAUGGUAGAGGGUGGUGGAAUUUCCUGUGUAGCGGUGAAAUGCGUAGAUAUAGGAAGGAACACCAGUGGCGAAGGCGACCACCUGGACUAAUACUGACACUGAGUGCGAAA
This 403-nucleotide ribosomal RNA is filed under the name uncultured bacterium. Its description in RNAcentral is "bacterial SSU rRNA". It matches the Rfam family "Bacterial small subunit ribosomal RNA", at positions 362 to 758 of the family's 1533-position model. The record is from RNAcentral.